This is a long non-coding RNA of Notolabrus celidotus (New Zealand spotty), 247 nucleotides long. RefSeq lists it as uncharacterized. The record is from RefSeq and is a predicted model, not a curated record. NCBI's taxonomy places the organism in Eukaryota, Metazoa, Chordata, Actinopteri, Labriformes, Labridae. The transcript is spliced from 2 exons.
CCUGCACCUUCACACCUUCACACCUGCACCUGACCGCUGCAAUCACCAACUGUAUUUAAGCCCUGCUGGGAGGCUUCUCCAGUGCCAGAUUAGUCCCACAUCUGAAUGUGCCUCCACGAGCCCCCAGUGCUUCUUCCCUAUCACUGCCACACUGCCUCACUCUCUACCAGGAUUUAUUCACCAAGCCUUGGACCCUGGAUCCCUUCCCUGCUCCCUUUUGUUCCAUACAAUAAAUUCACUGAACUGC